This 440-nucleotide ribosomal RNA is filed under the name Halobates mariannarum. RNAcentral's name for it is "partial large subunit ribosomal RNA". Lineage: Eukaryota; Metazoa; Arthropoda; Insecta; Hemiptera; Gerridae. The record is from RNAcentral.
GUUCUUUUGUUUUUAAUAUAAGAUCGGGCCUGCCCAUUGAUUAAAAAUAUUAAAAGGCUGCGGUAUUUUAACUGUACGAAGGUAGCAUAAUCACUUGUCUUUUAAUUGGAGGCUAGAAUGAAUGGUUUGAUGAGAAAUAAACUUUCUUUAGAUAAUUUAUUUGAAUUUAAUUUUUCAGUUAAAAAGCUGAAAUUUUUUUAUAGGACGAGAAGACCCUUUAGAGGUUUACUAAUUUUAUAAAUUAUAUUUUUUUGUUAAUUAAUUUAUUUUUUAGAAAAAUUAGUUUUGUUGGGGUGACAAUGGAAUUUUAUUAACUUUUAUUAUUUAUUUUCAUUAAUUUAUGUUUUUUUGAUCCAGAUUUUUUGAUUACAAGAUUAACCUACCUUAGGGAUAACAGCGUAAUCUUUUUGGAGAGUUCAUAUCGAUGAAAAGGUUUGCGA